This 1210-nucleotide ribosomal RNA is filed under the name metagenome. RNAcentral describes it as "bacterial SSU rRNA". It matches the Rfam family "Bacterial small subunit ribosomal RNA", at positions 298 to 1498 of the family's 1533-position model. The record is from RNAcentral.
GGGUGACCGGCCACACGGGGACUGAGAUACGGCCCAGACUCCUACGGGAGGCAGCAGUCGAGAAGCUUCGGCAAUGGGCGAAAGCCUGACCGAGCGACGCCGCGUGAGCGAAGAAGGCCCUAUGGGUUGUAAAGCUCUGUCAGAUUGGGAAGAAAACCUUACGGUUAAUACCCGUGAGGCUUGACGGUACCUUCAGAGGAAGCACCGGCUAACUCCGUGCCAGCAGCCGCGGUAAUACGGAGGGUGCAAGCGUUGUUCGGAUUCACUGGGUAUAAAGGGUGCGCAGGCGGCCUGAUAAGUCAGGGGUGAAAUAUGACGGCUCAACCGUCAAACUGCCCCUGAAACUGCCAGGCUUGAGUCCGGGAGAGGUAGGUGGAAUUCCAGGUGUAGCGGUGAAAUGCGUAAAUAUCUGGAGGAACACCGGUGGCGAAGGCGGCCUACUGGCCCGGAACUGACGCUCAGGCACGAAAGCUAGGGGAGCGAACGGGAUUAGAUACCCCGGUAGUCCUAGCCGUAAACGAUGGGCACUAGGUGUUGGAGGAGUCUACCCCUUCAGUGCCGCAGCUAACGCAUUAAGUGCCCCACCUGGGGAGUACGAUCGCAAGGUUGAAACUCAAAGGAAUUGACGGGGGCCCGCACAAGCGGUGGAGCAUGUGGUUUAAUUCGAUGCAACGCGAAGAACCUUACCUGGACUUGACAUGCAGGGGACAGGUGUAGAAAUACACCCUUCUUCGGACCCUUGUACAGGUGCUGCAUGGCUGUCGUCAGCUCGUGUCGUGAAAUGUUGGGUUAAGUCCCGCAACGAGCGCAACCCCUGUUUUCAGUUGCCAUCAGGUUAUGCUGGGGACUCUGGAGAGACUGCCGGUGACAAACCGGAGGAAGGUGGGGACGACGUCAAGUCAUCAUGGCCCUUACGUCCAGGGCUACACACGUGCUACAAUGGCUGGUACAAAGGGCUGCAAUACUGCGAAGUGGAGCGAAUCCCAAAAAGCCAGCCUCAGUUCGGAUUGGAGUCUGCAACUCGACUCCAUGAAGUUGGAAUCGCUAGUAAUCGCGUAUCAGAACGACGCGGUGAAUACGUUCCCGGGCCUUGUACACACCGCCCGUCAAGUCAACCGAGUUGGCUGCACCCCAAGUCGCUGAGCUAACCCGUAAGGGAGGCAGGUGCCCAAGGUGUGGUUGAUAAGGGGGACUAAGUCGUAACAAGGUA